AUGCGCAUCUUGAAACAACAACACCAAAAUGGUCGGCCGUGGCUAUGUCUUGGUGACUUCAAUGAAGUCCUCACAAGCAGUGAGAAGCUAGGAGGUGCUGAUCGUCCGCAACACUAUCUGGAUGAUUUUCGGCAAGCACUGGACGCCUGUGAGCUGAGGGAUAUAGGGUUUGAAGGCGAUAUGUAUACCUGGAGAAAUCACAGCAGCUGUGAGAGGCUGGAUCGGGCCACUGCAAACAAUGAAUGGUGUGGUGCUUUUCCAAACCAUAUAGUUGUGAACGGUGAACCAAGACACUCGGAUCACAGACCUGUGGUCGUGCACCUAGAUGGCAAGGACCGAAGUUGGAAGAGGAGUGAUUGCAGUUUCAGAUUUGAAGCUCGUUGGUUGCGGGAGGAGGGGUGCGAAGAGAUCAUACGGAAUGCGUGGGAUAAGAGCAGUGUGGAAGGGGGUAGAAAUGUCAGAAGUGGCUUGCAGAGUGUAGCUAGGGAUAUGAGUAAGUGGAGUAGAGAAGUAGUGGGAGAGCUUGAGUGCAUUACACGUUACUUAUAG
RNAcentral lists this ribosomal RNA (549 nucleotides) under Triticum aestivum (bread wheat). Its description in RNAcentral is "partial small subunit ribosomal RNA". Lineage: Eukaryota; Viridiplantae; Streptophyta; Magnoliopsida; Poales; Poaceae. The record is from RNAcentral.